AAAAAAGAGACAUUUUAAUUGGAUAAUAAAGUCAUACGAGGGACGAGUAAGGCCCCAAAGCAAUACAUUCUUGGCCAGUCAUGGACUGUUCAAGACACUGACUCAGAGCUCUGGGCCAAACCUCUGUCUUGAAUAUAUUUUAAUUAAGAUAUAAUGAAAUAUAUUUAAUUAAAAUGAAAAUGAAAAUUUAAACAUUUUUUAAAAAUUUAUUUUUAAAAACAUUUUUGUCUUUUUUUAGGGCCGCACCUAUGGCAUAUGGAGGUUCCCAGGUGCAGCCCUAAAAAGAAAAAAAAGGAAAAAAAAAAAGAAAAAGAGGGGUCUUGCAGAGACCACUGAUGAUGUGCCUUGAAUGGAAGAGGUUUCAUGAUAGAACUCAGAAGAAAAAGACACUGGGGUUCCCAUCGUGGCUCAGCGAGUUAAGAACCUGACCAGUAUCUGUGAGGAUAUGGGCUUGAUCCCUGGCCUCUCUUAGGGGGUUAGGGAUCUGGCAUCGACAUAGCUGCAGUGUAGGUCACAGAUGUGGCUCUGAUCUGGCGUUGCUGUGGCCGUGGCGUAGGCCAGCAGCUGAAGCUCUGAUUCGACUCCUAGCCUGGGCCCUUCCAUAUGCUGCAGGUGCAGCCCUAAGAAGAAAAAAAAAGUCCAGCAUCCACUGAGAAUGUGUUUCCAUACAAAGUCUGCGCACACCUGAAGGACGAAGAGGGAGCACGCAGGCGUGGGAAGGAGAGCUGCAGUGUGGUGGAUGACAGCCUCAGGGCUCCGAAUACUCUUCACAAUUCUUCUUAACCUCCUUAGUAGCCCCUGGCCACCCUCGACUCUAUCGAUCCAGCCCUCAGGCGUCUAUGCAGACUGGGGCGUCCACUGCGCACUUCUCUGCCCUCUGUCUGGCGAAUUCCCACACUUCGUUACAACUCAGCUUAAACACUGCCCCCCCACCUCACCCCCCGGCAGGAGGCAUCCCCCUGCCUCCCAGAGCUGAUUCACUGCCUCUUCUUAUCUUUCCCAGACAACCAGUGAUGGCUCGAGCUGAGCCGCUUCAACACUAGUCUCUUCUUAGAAGCACAGCCUUUCAGGGAGUGGAGAGAAACACUGGGGCCGUGCCAGCCAAGGGAGGAAAUGUCUGGCCUGGGAGACGGGAGAGCUGGGGUGGACUGGACAGUGAAGGGGGUGAGGCCCCUGGGUGAUUUUUGCCUUGGCUUUCCCUUUCAAUUCCCUAGCCCAGCCCUGCCAAGCCAACCAAUUCUGUCAAAUCUUAUUUCUCAGGUGCCUGUGAUCCCAAGACACCGUGGUGCGGGAUUGCAACGCCACGGCCAUUCUUUGAGUGUUGGACCCAGGCAGGGAGGGAAGGCUUGGACGUGAGCAAUGUCAGAUAACAGUGGCAGAAUAGAGUGAAAGACAGCAGAACAGGACAGCAGAAAAGGGAUGGCCUGUGGGCACUGAAUGGUCUGGGUGCAGGGGGCAGGUGCCUGCAGGGGCUGCAAAGGGAAGUCCUCUGAGAACCGGCCCAAUGUCCAGGAGGAUGCAGGCUGGAUGGGGAAGGGGGACUGCAUGCGAACGGUCCACGAGGAGCCCCCGGAUUGGAGGCCAGAACAGAAGAAAACAUCAGGGAGUCUGGGAGGGUUAUCAGGGCCAGAAUUUUGAGGCCCUCGCAAGCCAGGCAGAGGGACAGUGCUGGGAAAACGGCGGUGAGAAAUGCAGAAAGCCGCGCAGCUGAUGAGAGGUGUUUAGGGGGAAAUGGGUCUGGGGGCGGCCCUUCGGGAGGCUGAGGCAAAGAACCCAGUUAGUAAACUCCUCCGAAAUCACAGCCGGGCAGGAGGCACAUGGUACUAGAGUCUCACGUCGUGUCCCCCCCCACCCCAGUCAGCACGACUGACAUCAGCAGCUCACUGGAGCACACUUGCCCCUGACUCCAGGUGCAACUCCAGAGGGUUUUUUAGGCCACUCUGGGCUCCUGGCAGCCCCUACCGAUCCAUCCAGGGUGAUGGGUCAAAUCUCCCCGCCUUGCGGGUUCGAUCAGUCAGGCGAUGUUAUGGGGCACUGACACGCAUCCUCAAAUUCCAGUGGCUUAAAGCGGUGAAGGUUCAUCGCUCAUUCAGGCUACCUGUCCAUCACAGUUGACCAGAGAUGGCUGUCAGUGCCAGCACUGUCCAGACAGACUGACAGGGCAGCCCCUUCACAGGGCACUGCUGGCCACCAAGGCAGGGGAGAGAGAGAGAUACAUCUUUGGAAGGUCUCUCACUAGCGUUUCAUAUGAAAGCCUGAAAAGGCAUAUCCCUCUGUAUACCACUCAUUGGCCAGAACUGGUCACAGCAGGCAAGGCCGUGGAAUCUUAAUCUCCAAAAGGCAGAGAGUUAGAAAAAAUAAAAGAAAGGCCUGGAGUUCACAUUGUGGUUCAGCAGGUUAAAAACGCGACUGGUAUCCAUGAGGAUGCGGGUUUGAUCUCUGGCCUUGC
This 2449-nucleotide long non-coding RNA is filed under the name Sus scrofa (pig). RNAcentral's name for it is "lncRNA (ENSSSCG00015029938.1)". The record is from RNAcentral. Lineage: Eukaryota; Metazoa; Chordata; Mammalia; Artiodactyla; Suidae.